This is a non-coding RNA of Dermatophagoides pteronyssinus (European house dust mite), 72 nucleotides long. The record is from the annotation of a RefSeq genome assembly. NCBI's taxonomy places the organism in Eukaryota, Metazoa, Arthropoda, Arachnida, Sarcoptiformes, Pyroglyphidae.
GGGGAUGUAUUUCAGUGGUAGAAAGUCUGCUUCGCAUGCAGAAGGUCAUGGGUUCGAAUCCCAUCAUCUCCA